Mugil cephalus (flathead mullet) is the source of this 2426-nucleotide long non-coding RNA. RefSeq lists it as uncharacterized. The record is from RefSeq and is a predicted model, not a curated record. NCBI's taxonomy places the organism in Eukaryota, Metazoa, Chordata, Actinopteri, Mugiliformes, Mugilidae. The transcript is spliced from 5 exons.
CUGCUAGAUUCAUAAUAAGUUAUUACUAUGGUUAAAUCAGUCACAAUGCUGCCCAGUUUAAUAAAGGAAAGAGGCAAAGGAGAGAGAGGAGUGAGCCAGUUCUUCUGGAUGAAAGAGCCCAAAAUUCCUGGCGGCGCCCCUGUUUACAGUAUUGCGAUGGGAGGGAAGGGUAUCAGGUGUCACGGCCGUUUCCUUUAGGCACUUUUAAAGUCUACAUUAAUCACUCUGGCCCCGAGUCUCCCAUCCCACCCUGCUCCCACCACAGGACACGAGGAUGUGCGAAACACAACACUGCUACCAUACCCCGGGGCUACGCAUGUACACACACACACACACACACACUCCUACACUUGUACACACUGCAUUAGAUGUAUUGAUAGCUUCUGAGGCACGAGCGGCGCUGUGAUGCUCUGACAUAUGGAGGGUUAAAGGCUUCUUAAAUGUCCGUAUCAAUCUGCACGCCUGUCACCUCGACAAUGACGGAAACAGAACACCGCUAACAGCGGCAGGCGCUAACAUCCUCAUCUGUGCAACAUAAGAGAAAUAGGUGGCUCUCUGCAGGACAUUCCUCUGGACGUUAGCCAAGUCAACGCACAGAGGGUAAAUUAUGGCUCUGGUUUGGUUGCAAGAGAAAAAUGACGUAACUCUGGUUUAUUUUCUAACCUCGUCAGAGCGUUGGUUGGGUUCGUGUUUGGUGCAAAUGUCAGAAAUAUUAUAUCCCUUUUUAAAAUGGAUCUGAUUGCACUGAUUUCAUUGUUCUGUGUCUUCCUUGGUAACGCGUAUACGCUUGUGACUGUGCAAGGUGAUUGUCCUCUUCCUGCUGCACGCAAAGCAUUGUACUCUGCCCUCCUGGGAUGGGAGACGUUUUGUUUUUUGAGCUCUUUCACACCGGCUCUCCCGCUUUUUCUUUUUCCCCCUUUUUUUUUUUUUUUUUUUUUAAACACAAUAGCCUCCUCUCCUCUCGCCCAGCGUGGCAACCCUUUCAAACGGGGGAAGCUCCAGGUCAGUUUCCCUUGCCAAGUUUUGCAGCCUGCCAUGUUGUCUAUUCUGCUCAGCUAUUUAAAAAAUGUUGAAUAUCAACAAUGGCUUUCACUGGUGCAUUGUCAACUUUUGUAUGAAGCAAUCUUGGCUGAAUGAGAUGGGUCCCAGAGCAGGGAGAGCUCAGCCGCAGUGUGCGCCACCGUACCAGUGGCUGCCCAGCUCUCUCGCGGGUUAUGUUUCUCUACAGUUCCGCCCGCGGUGGAGGUUCGAACGGCCGCGGGCUGCGGACGUCCCCGGCCGUCUCGCUCUCCGCGGCGCUGCUCCGGAGGGGCCUGCUGACAGUCAGCUGUUGAAGGUGUGUCUAGCAGAGGGACUGGGAAGCAGCAGCAGCAGCAGCAGCAGCAGCCUUGGGACCAGUGAGAGCUCGGUUUGAGUGACAGCCGCCUCUCUCUGCGGCUGAGCGUCGGCGUCAAGGAUGACAGUCAGAGAUGAUCACCGGGGUCGCGUCUGAACGUGCGGAACUUGAAGCGAUCUUCACUCGUCUCUGCCGAGCGCCAGCCUGUCUCCAGCGGUAAUUGCCCUUUAAGGUUUGGGCCUGAAAGACGUGCCAGACCUGCUGCCAAAGCAUCAGCCUCCACCUCACCCUGCAGACAUGGCUGAACACACGCAUGCAUGCACACACACACACGCACGCACGCACACACACACACACUGACACAGCGCAAAAAUCAUGCAUAUCUUUUAUUUGUGUUGUCAAGCAUGUAAGCAUACGCUGCUUUCUCUUACUUCCAUAUGACACCCUGCACACUUACACACACACACGCACGCACGCACACUCACACACACAUUCUUGCCAUCUCUGCGCUCGAUCUCCGAUGAUGGAGUCGUUGCACACUUUCAUGCCGCAUGUCAGACCUAGACACGAUUGCGACACAUUCACACGGUCUUCAGCAGCACAAACAUAAACACACACACACACACACACACACGCUUCAGAUUUGUCAGUUGUCUCUCAGGCAUGCCCUAUUUUUAAAACGGUAAGCACACCUACACACAUUCUCCCAUGCUCGGGGCACACCCAUCGCGGCCCAUGUCAUAGUCUGUCGUCCUCUCUCCAGCCGCCUGCUCAGUUGCAGGGGAGAGAAAUUAGUCAGGUGCAGUAAAUCUCGACACCUGACACUAGUGGUCUCUCUUUAAAGUUGUUUUCACCGCCGCCCCCGCACUUAAUGGCAGAGUACCUACCGAUUAUUGCAUGUUCUGAGCUAGUCUGGUAAUUGCAUGGUACAUACCUGUCCAGGGUGUAAGCCCAUCCGCUGAACAUGGGGCCCCUGUGUUAAACGGCUCACUUUAUUGUCGUAACAGGGAGAGGGACCCUCCUAUCUGUCAUUCAGCGUCAGCCAUUGUCAGGGUGCACCCCACCACCACCACCACCACCACCACCCCUA